GGGGAAUAUUGCACAAUGGGCGCAAGCCUGAUGCAGCGACGCCGCGUGAGGGAUGACGGCCUUCGGGUUGUAAACCUCUUUCGCCAGGGACGAAGGGUGAUACUGACGGUACCUGGAGAAGAAGCACCGGCUAACUACGUGCCAGCAGCCGCGGUAAUACGUAGGGUGCGAGCGUUGUCCGGAAUUAUUGGGCGUAAAGAGCUCGUAGGCGGUGUGUCGCGUCUGCCGUGAAAACCUACAGCUUAACUGUGGGCGUGCGGUGGAUACGGGCAUCACUUGAGUUCGGCAGGGGAGACUGGAAUUCCUGGUGUAGCGGUGGAAUGCGCGGAUAUCAGGAGGAACACCGGUGGCGAAGGCGGGUCUCUGGGCCGAUACUGACGCUGAGGAGCGAAAGCGUGGGGAGCGAAC
Molecule: ribosomal RNA, 408 nt
Filed under: uncultured bacterium
Lineage: Bacteria
Description: bacterial SSU rRNA
Rfam family: Bacterial small subunit ribosomal RNA
Source: RNAcentral